GACGAACGCUGGCGGCGUGCUUAACACAUGCAAGUCGAACGGAAAGGCCUGCUUUCCCUUGUGGAUUGCGGGUACUCGAGUGGCGAACGGGUGAGUAACACGUGAGUGAUCUGCCCCCAACUUGGGUAUAAGCCUGGGAAACUGGGUCUAAUUCCCGAUAGGACUGCAGGGUGGUGCCUGUGGUGGAAAACGAUUUUCUAGUGGUUGGGGAUGAGCUCGCGGCCUAUCAGCUUGUUGGUGGGGUAAUGGCCUACCAAGGCGGCGACGGGUAGCCGGCCUGAGAGGGUGGACGGCCCCAUUGGGACGGAGAUACGGCCCAGACUCCUACGGGAGGCAGCAGUGGGGAAUAUUGCACAAUGGGCGGAAGCCUGAUGCAGCGACGCCGCGUGGGGGAUGACGGCCUUCGGGUUGUAAACUCCUUUCGACCGCGAGGAAGCCACCUGGUUGGAAGGGUGGUGACGGUAGUGGUAGAAGAAGCACCGGCUAACUACGUG
RNAcentral lists this ribosomal RNA (494 nucleotides) under uncultured bacterium. RNAcentral's name for it is "partial 16S ribosomal RNA". It matches the Rfam family "Bacterial small subunit ribosomal RNA", at positions 28 to 507 of the family's 1533-position model. The record is from RNAcentral.